This 496-nucleotide ribosomal RNA is filed under the name uncultured bacterium. Its description in RNAcentral is "partial 16S ribosomal RNA". It matches the Rfam family "Bacterial small subunit ribosomal RNA", at positions 29 to 507 of the family's 1533-position model. The record is from RNAcentral.
AUGAACGCUGGCGGCGUGCCUAAUACAUGCAAGUCGAGCGCACAGACGAGGAGCUUGCUCCUUUGACGUUAGCGGCGGACGGGUGAGUAACACGUGGGUAACCUACCUAUAAGACUGGGAUAACUUCGGGAAACCGGAGCUAAUACCGGAUAAUAUUUCGAACCGCAUGGUUCGAUAGUGAAAGAUGGCUUUGCUAUCACUUAUAGAUGGACCUGCGCCGUAUUAGCUAGUUGGUAAGGUAACGGCUUACCAAGGCAACGAUACGUAGCCGACCUGAGAGGGUGAUCGGCCACACUGGAACUGAGACACGGUCCAGACUCCUACGGGAGGCAGCAGUAGGGAAUCUUCCGCAAUGGGCGAAAGCCUGACGGAGCAACGCCGCGUGAGUGAUGAAGGUCUUCGGAUCGUAAAACUCUGUUAUUAGGGAAGAACAAACGUGUAAGUAACUGUGCACGUCUUGACGGUACCUAAUCAGAAAGCCACGGCUAACUACGUG